AUGGGUCAAACGGCCAAGGACGCCACAAGAUCAUCAGUAUGGGUGCCGCCUCCAGCAAACCAUGCGAAGUUUAAUACUGAUGCGGCUGUCAUGAGAAACGGGAACUAUGGAGCAAUUGCUGUUGUGAGCCGGGACGUGGGAGGCAAGUUCCUGGGAGCCUCAUGUAUAACUGUCAGACAUAUCUCAGACCCAGAGACGCUUGAAGCUUUGGCAGUCCGAUAAGCUCUAUCACUAGCUCUCGACCUAUAUGUCCAUAGUAUUCACAUAGCGACAGACUAUAAGGCAGUGGUAGACGGGAUUGAGCAAGGAUCUUUGGCAGCACACGGAGCAAUAAUACAUGAAAUCAAGGAGUAUACGGUUUUGUUUCAUUCCUGUAACAUAGUCCACGAGUUUAGGAGCUCGAACAUCGAGGCUCACAACCUCGCUAAGCAUGCUUUAUCCCUAGGGUUUGGUCACCAUGUUUGGCUCGGUCAUCCCGGUGAUCUUAACUUUGUAUCAGAGAACAUUUUUGAGAUAUAA
This 519-nucleotide ribosomal RNA is filed under the name Triticum aestivum (bread wheat). RNAcentral's name for it is "partial small subunit ribosomal RNA". Lineage: Eukaryota; Viridiplantae; Streptophyta; Magnoliopsida; Poales; Poaceae. The record is from RNAcentral.